Molecule: ribosomal RNA, 253 nt
Filed under: uncultured bacterium
Lineage: Bacteria
Description: partial 16S ribosomal RNA
Rfam family: Bacterial small subunit ribosomal RNA
Source: RNAcentral
UACGAAGGGGGCUAGCGUUGUUCGGAGUUACUGGGCGUAAAGGGCGCGUAGGCGGCCCUCCAAGUCGGGUGUGAAAGCCCACGGCUCAACCGUGGAAUUGCACUCGAGACUGAAGGGCUCGAGGACGGGAGAGGAUGGUGGAAUUCCCAGUGUAGAGGUGAAAUUCGUAGAUAUUGGGUGGAACACCGGUGGCGAAAGCGGCUCACUGGCCCGGUUCUGACGCUGAGGCGCGAAAGCGUGGGGAGCAAACAGG